GUGGGGAAUAUUGGGCAAUGGGCGAAAGCCUGACCCAGCAACGCCGCGUGAGGGAAGAAGGCCUUCGGGUUGUAAACCUCUGUCCUUGGUGACGAAAAAAAUGACGGUAGCCAAGGAGGAAGCCCCGGCUAACUACGUGCCAGCAGCCGCGGUAAUACGUAGGGGGCGAGCGUUGUCCGGAAUUACUGGGCGUAAAGGGUGCGUAGGUGGCCUUUUAAGUUGGAUGUGAAAUACCCGGGCUUAACUUGGGGGGUGCAUCUAAUACUGGAGGGCUAGAGUGCAGGAGAGGGAAGCGGAAUUCCUAGUGUAGCGGUGAAAUGCGUAGAUAUUAGGAGGAACACCAGUGGCGAAGGCGGCUUUCUGGACUGUAACUGACACUGAGGCACGAAAGCGUGGGGAGCAAACAGGAUUAGAUACCCGGGUAGUCC
Molecule: ribosomal RNA, 428 nt
Filed under: uncultured bacterium
Lineage: Bacteria
Description: partial 16S ribosomal RNA
Rfam family: Bacterial small subunit ribosomal RNA
Source: RNAcentral